CUACGGGUCGCUGCAGUGGGGAAUAUUGGACAAUGGGGGAAACCCUGAUGCAGCAACGCCGCGUGGAGGAUGACACUUUUCGGAGCGUAAACUCCUUUUAUAUAGGAAGAAGAUGACGGUACUAUAUGAAUAAGCGCCGGCUAACUCCGUGCCAGCAGCCGCGGUAAUACGGAGGGCGCAAGCGUUACUCGGAAUCACUGGGCGUAAAGAGCGUGUAGGCGGAUUAAAAAGUCAGAAGUGAAAUCCUAUAGCUUAACUAUAGAACUGCUUCUGAAACUCUUAAUCUAGAAUAUGGGAGAGGUAGAUGGAAUUUCUGGUGUAGGGGUAAAAUCCGUAGAGAUCAGAAGGAAUACCGAUUGCGAAGGCGAUCUACUAGAACAUUAUUGACGCUGAGACGCGAAAGCGUGGGGAGCAAACAGGAUUAGAUACCCUGGUAGUC
RNAcentral lists this ribosomal RNA (439 nucleotides) under uncultured bacterium. Its description in RNAcentral is "partial 16S ribosomal RNA". It matches the Rfam family "Bacterial small subunit ribosomal RNA", at positions 339 to 795 of the family's 1533-position model. The record is from RNAcentral.